GGCAACAGCUCAAAUUUGAAAUCUGGCGCAAGCCCGAGUUGUAAUUUGUAGAGGAUGCUUCUAGGCAGCGGCCGGUCUAAGUUCCUUGGAACAGGACGUCAUAGAGGGUGAGAAUCCCGUAUGUGACCGGCUGGCACCUUUCACGUAGCUCCUUCGACGAGUCGAGUUGUUUGGGAAUGCAGCUCUAAAUGGGAGGUAAAUUUCUUCUAAAGCUAAAUACCGGCCAGAGACCGAUAGCGCACAAGUAGAGUGAUCGAAAGAUGAAAAGCACUUUGGAAAGAGAGUUAAAAAGCACGUGAAAUUGUUGAAAGGGAAGGGCUUGCGACCAGACUUGUCGGCGGUGUUCCGCCGGUCUUCUGACCGGUUCACUCGCCGUCGGCAGGCCAGCAUCAUCUGGGGCCGCCGGAUAAAGGCUCAGGGAAUGUAGCUCCCCUCGGGGAGUGUUAUAGCCCUGUGCACAAUACGGCGCGUCCCGGGUGAGGUCCGCGCUUCGGCAAGGAUGCUGGCGUAAUGGGCGUAAGCCGCCCGUCUUGAAACACGGACCAAGGAGUCGAUUAUCUAUGCGAGUGUUCGGGCGUCAAACCCCUACGCGUAAUGAAAGUGAACGGAGGUGGGAACCCUUACGGGUGCACCAUCGACCGAUCCGGAUGUCUUCGGAUGGAUUUGAGUAAGAGCAUAGCUAAUCGGACCCGAAAGAUGGUGAACUAUGCCUGAAUAGGGUGAAGCCAGAGGAAACUCUGGUGGAGGCUCGCAGCGGUUCUGACGUGCAAAUCGAUCGUCAAAUUUGGGUAUAGGGGCGAAAGACUAAUCGAACCAUCUAGUAGCUGG
Molecule: ribosomal RNA, 828 nt
Filed under: Neodevriesia cycadicola
Lineage: Eukaryota; Fungi; Ascomycota; Dothideomycetes; Mycosphaerellales; Neodevriesiaceae
Description: partial 28S ribosomal RNA
Rfam family: Eukaryotic large subunit ribosomal RNA
Source: RNAcentral